RNAcentral lists this long non-coding RNA (909 nucleotides) under Felis catus (domestic cat). RNAcentral describes it as "lncRNA (ENSFCAG00000050222.1)". Lineage: Eukaryota; Metazoa; Chordata; Mammalia; Carnivora; Felidae. The record is from RNAcentral.
UUUCUUCCCUACGCCUGGCGAGCCCUAGAAUUGUUUGGAAGGAAAAGAGCAAGAAGGGGGCGUGGUGUAGGGAGUGGGGCGGGGCUACGGAGCGGCCUGGCUUAAAUAUUGUUUCACCUUUUGGCGCCAAAUGAUUGGUAUUCAUACUUACUCAAGCCGGUUGGAGAUGAGUACCCUGCUGAAUUAUACCGAGUAGAGGAAUCUUCGCUGAGAGGCAGUCUAGCACGGUGGGGACUGCAGACCAAAGCAUGGAAGAGUGAAGGUUCUAAAGUCAGAUGUCCUGGCCUUGAAUCCUGCGUCUCCCAAUUAAUAACCCGAGACCUCAGGCAAGUGAUGCAGUCUCUCUUACCUCGGUCUUGGGUUCUUGUGAGGCUUACAUAAGUUAAUAUAUGUAAUCCAUACUCAAUACACGUUAUUUUGUUAAUACAGGGUAGCCCAGAAAAUCUAGGAAUGUUGUUCAAAAUGCCUCCUCAUGUGCUAAUGAAAAUGCAGCUCCACCUAAGAAUGUUUCACUUCCAUGCCUUCCACCCACCCUUGCUGGACUCAGCAUUGAGUCAUUCAGCAAGCAUCUGAACACUUACUGUACACGGUGAUAGACAAAAACAUUUAAAGAGGCAGCCCCUAGCCCCAAAGUAUGUUCCCUACUUCUCAAAAGGUCAAUCAAAAUAAGAGAAUGCUAUUACAAAUGGGACCCUAUCAGGAAGCAUGCAAUAGGCCUUCUGGCUUACUGGACUGGAAUCAUCCUUUAGAGAUAGAUCACCUUUGAAUUCAACCUCCUUUACUUAUUGGCUGUGUGACCUCAACUAGGUUACUUGACUUCCAUGAGCCUCCAGUUUUCCAAUAGGUAAAAUGAGUGGGGGAAAGUUUCAAGGGUUAUUUGAGAUAAUUUUGGAACAAAAGGGGUCUGGC